ACGACCUUACUUGAACAGGAUCUGUUCUAUAGGCUCGUACCUCUGUAUCCUUGAGUUCUAAGGAGACAGGAAACGGAGACAGGAAACCAAGCCUGGUGGAUGAACUAUGGCCAAGAGAUUAGAGCGUGAUUAACAGCUCCAGACCUUAAUUGGGCUGAGCCGUAGAGGAUCGUUCUCAGCCCAUGAGCUCAUGGUUGGGAUGGUCUCUUGGCUGUCUGACUGGCU
This 225-nucleotide small nucleolar RNA is filed under the name Ipomoea nil (Japanese morning glory). Its description in RNAcentral is "Plant small nucleolar RNA U3". It matches the Rfam family "Plant small nucleolar RNA U3". From Rfam's summary of the family: Small nucleolar RNAs (snoRNAs) are involved in the processing and modification of rRNA in the nucleolus. There are two main classes of snoRNAs: the box C/D class, and the box H/ACA class. Lineage: Eukaryota; Viridiplantae; Streptophyta; Magnoliopsida; Solanales; Convolvulaceae. The record is from Rfam by way of RNAcentral.